Molecule: unclassified non-coding RNA, 229 nt
Filed under: Hevea brasiliensis (rubber tree)
Lineage: Eukaryota; Viridiplantae; Streptophyta; Magnoliopsida; Malpighiales; Euphorbiaceae
Source: RNAcentral
UCAUUUCCUUUUUUUUUUUUUUCUUAAAUCAAGUAAAACUGAUUUAUUUUAUUUUUCCCUCCUUUUGUUUGCUGAAUGUUAGGUAGAGAUUUAAAAUAUGGAUGUCAAUUUAAAUUAUUCUGGAAUUGUCUGCUUGAAAUCAUUAUGGCUAUUCACAGACUAAUUAUUAUUUACACUCUAGCAAACAGUAGAUCCCUUUCAUAGGAACAGGGUGGAAGAGGCUGGAAAA